Molecule: long non-coding RNA, 530 nt
Filed under: Mytilus galloprovincialis (Mediterranean mussel)
Lineage: Eukaryota; Metazoa; Mollusca; Bivalvia; Mytilida; Mytilidae
Source: RNAcentral
GUAAAAAAAAAUCCAAAAAAAAUCGGUGGUUUGAGUCCCACCUCUUGUGUUGAUCCUCUGUACCUGAAAAUAAAAAUAAUUGCAGUUACAGCUACAGAAAUCUUAAUAAGGAAAUGAAUGCUGUGAAUAAAAAGUCGUAAAUUUGCAUCGGAUUUGUGUCCGACAUUGUGCCCACGGUCGUCCACGGGAACGCGUGGACUCCCGGUCCACGCUGACAUGUCCACGGCCGCCCACGCGGCGGAGUGGACAUGUCCACGGCCGCCCACGCGGCGGAGUGGGCGACCCGCCCACGGUGGGCAGAGGGCGUGGGCACAUGCGUGGACGUCCGCGGUGGGCACGUGGAAAAAGCAAAAUCCACGUGGCCUGUUGUGUAUCUGGCAUUUCCUCUGCACUUCUUGUAUUAUUAUUACUUCAUCACGAUGACAAGAAUAACAGUAGAGAGUAUCAAUGAUUGAUAGAACUAAACAACAAUUCGCUGAAGGCAUGUUUACAAAAUGUCAAAACGAGCCAAAGACCAAAAAAUGAAAAGG